CUUUGGCAUUGUGGAAGGACUCA
RNAcentral lists this non-coding RNA (23 nucleotides) under Cricetulus griseus (Chinese hamster). The record is from RNAcentral. Lineage: Eukaryota; Metazoa; Chordata; Mammalia; Rodentia; Cricetidae.